Molecule: unclassified non-coding RNA, 314 nt
Filed under: plant metagenome
Description: partial contains 5.8S ribosomal RNA, internal transcribed spacer 2, and large subunit ribosomal RNA
Rfam family: 5.8S ribosomal RNA (bases 1-105)
Source: RNAcentral
GAAAUGCGAUACUUAAUGUGAAUUGCAGAAUUCAGUGAAUCAUCGAGUCUUUGAACGCACAUUGCGCCCCCUGGUAUUCCGGGGGGCAUGCCUGUCCGAGCGUCAUUGCUGCCCUCAAGCACGGCUUGUGUGUUGGGCUUCCGUCCCUGGCAACGGGGACGGGCCCAAAAGGCAGUGGCGGCCCCAUGUCUGGUCCUCGAGCGUAUGGGGCUUUGUCACCCGCUCCCGUAGGUCCAGCUGGCAGCUAGCCUCGCAACCAAUCUUUUUAACCAGGUUGACCUCGGAUCAGGUAGGGAUACCCGCUGAACUUAAGC